Molecule: ribosomal RNA, 1519 nt
Filed under: metagenome
Description: bacterial SSU rRNA
Rfam family: Bacterial small subunit ribosomal RNA
Source: RNAcentral
GUUUGAUCAUGGCUCAGAUUGAACGCUGGCGGCAGGCCUAACACAUGCAAGUCGAACGGUAACAGGAAGAAGCUUGCUUCUUUGCUGACGAGUGGCGGACGGGUGAGUAAUGUCUGGGAAACUGCCUGAUGGAGGGGGAUAACUACUGGAAACGGUAGCUAAUACCGCAUAACGUCGCAAGACCAAAGAGGGGGACCUUCGGGCCUCUUGCCAUCGGAUGUGCCCAGAUGGGAUUAGCUAGUAGGUGGGGUAACGGCUCACCUAGGCGACGAUCCCUAGCUGGUCUGAGAGGAUGACCAGCCACACUGGAACUGAGACACGGUCCAGACUCCUACGGGAGGCAGCAGUGGGGAAUAUUGCACAAUGGGCGCAAGCCUGAUGCAGCCAUGCCGCGUGUAUGAAGAAGGCCUUCGGGUUGUAAAGUACUUUCAGCGGGGAGGAAGGGAGUAAAGUUAAUACCUUUGCUCAUUGACGUUACCCGCAGAAGAAGCACCGGCUAACUCCGUGCCAGCAGCCGCGGUAAUACGGAGGGUGCAAGCGUUAAUCGGAAUUACUGGGCGUAAAGCGCACGCAGGCGGUUUGUUAAGUCAGAUGUGAAAUCCCCGGGCUCAACCUGGGAACUGCAUCUGAUACUGGCAAGCUUGAGUCUCGUAGAGGGGGGUAGAAUUCCAGGUGUAGCGGUGAAAUGCGUAGAGAUCUGGAGGAAUACCGGUGGCGAAGGCGGCCCCCUGGACGAAGACUGACGCUCAGGUGCGAAAGCGUGGGGAGCAAACAGGAUUAGAUACCCUGGUAGUCCACGCCGUAAACGAUGUCGACUUGGAGGUUGUGCCCUUGAGGCGUGGCUUCCGGAGCUAACGCGUUAAGUCGACCGCCUGGGGAGUACGGCCGCAAGGUUAAAACUCAAAUGAAUUGACGGGGGCCCGCACAAGCGGUGGAGCAUGUGGUUUAAUUCGAUGCAACGCGAAGAACCUUACCUGGUCUUGACAUCCACGGAAGUUUUCAGAGAUGAGAAUGUGCCUUCGGGAACCGUGAGACAGGUGCUGCAUGGCUGUCGUCAGCUCGUGUUGUGAAAUGUUGGGUUAAGUCCCGCAACGAGCGCAACCCUUAUCCUUUGUUGCCAGCGGUCCGGCCGGGAACUCAAAGGAGACUGCCAGUGAUAAACUGGAGGAAGGUGGGGAUGACGUCAAGCCAUCAUGGCCCUUACGACCAGGGCUACACACGUGCUACAAUGGCGCAUACAAAGAGAAGCGACCUCGCGAGAGCAAGCGGACCUCAUAAAGUGCGUCGUAGUCCGGAUUGGAGUCUGCAACUCGACUCCAUGAAGUCGGAAUCGCUAGUAAUCGUGGAUCAGAAUGCCACGGUGAAUACGUUCCCGGGCCUUGUACACACCGCCCGUCACACCAUGGGAGUGGGUUGCAAAAGAAGUAGGUAGCUUAACCUUCGGGAGGGCGCUUACCACUUUGUGAUUCAUGACUGGGGUGAAGUCGUAACAAGGUAACCGUAGGGGAACCUGCGGUUG